RNAcentral lists this ribosomal RNA (511 nucleotides) under uncultured bacterium. RNAcentral describes it as "bacterial SSU rRNA". It matches the Rfam family "Bacterial small subunit ribosomal RNA", at positions 36 to 518 of the family's 1533-position model. The record is from RNAcentral.
CUGGCGGCGUGCCGUAAUACAUGCAAGUCGAACGGUCUUUCUAUGGAAGCUUGCUUCCACUGAGAAGAUAGUGGCGAACGGGUGAGUAACACGUGGGUAACCUGCCCAUAAGAGGGGGAUAACAUCCGGAAACGGGUGCUAAUACCGCAUAGUUUUCUUGAUCGCAUGAUUGAGAAAGGAAAGACGGCCUUUGUGCUGUCGCUUAUGGAUGGACCCGCGGCGUAUUAGUUAGUUGGUGAGGUAACGGCUCACCAAGACGAUGAUACGUAGCCGACCUGAGAGGGUGAUCGGCCACAUUGGGACUGAGACACGGCCCAAACUCCUACGGGAGGCAGCAGUAGGGAAUCUUCCGCAAUGGACGAAAGUCUGACGGAGCAACGCCGCGUGAGUGAAGAAAAGGUUUUCGGAUCGUAAAACUCUGUUGUCAGAGAAGAACAAGUUGGAGAGUAACUGCUCCAGCCUUGACGGUAUCUGACCAGAAAGCCACGGCUAACUACGUGCCAGCAGCCGC